UUGCACGCUGGCGGCAGGCCUAACACAUGCCAGUCGAACGGUAACAGGAAACAGCUUGCUGUUUCGCUGACGAGUGGCGGCCGGGUGAGUAAUGUCUGGGAAACUGCCUGAUGGAGGGGGAUAACUACUGGAAACGGUAGCUAAUACCGCAUAACGUCGCAAGACCAAAGAGGGGGACCCUCGGGCCUCUUGCCAUCGGAUGUGCCCAGAUGGGAUUAGCUUGUUGGUGGGGUAACGGCUCACCAAGGCGACGAUCCCUAGCUGGUCUGAGAGGAUGACCAGCCACACUGGAACUGAGACACGGUCCAGACUCCUACGGGAGGCAGCAGUGGGGAAUAUUGCACAAUGGGCGCAAGCCUGAUGCAGCCAUGCCGCGUGUAUGAAGAAGGCCUUCGGGUUGUAAAGUACUUUCAGCGGGGAGGAAGGGAGUAAAGUUAAUACCUUUGCUCAUUGACGUUACCCGCAGAAGAAGCACCGGCUAACUCCGUG
Molecule: ribosomal RNA, 489 nt
Filed under: uncultured bacterium
Lineage: Bacteria
Description: partial 16S ribosomal RNA
Rfam family: Bacterial small subunit ribosomal RNA
Source: RNAcentral